CGGGGGGAGCAAGCGUUGUUCGGAUUUACUGGGCGUAAAGGGCGCGUAGGCGGCCACCGCAAGUCAAUUGUGAAAUCUCCGGGCUUAACUCGGAAAGGUCAACUGAUACUGCGGGGCUAGAGUGCAGAAGGGGCAACUGGAAUUCUCGGUGUAGCGGUGAAAUGAGUAGAUAUCGAGAGGAACACCUGCGGCGAAGGCGGGUUGCUGGGCUGACACUGACGCUGAGGCGCGAAAGCUAGGGGAGCGAACGGGAUUAGAUACCCCGGUAGUCCUAGCCUUAAACGAUGAAUGCUUGGUGUCUGGGGUUAUAAAGUCCCCGGGUGCCGUCGCUAACGCUUUAAGCAUUCCGCCUGGGGAGUACGGUCGCAAGACUG
Molecule: ribosomal RNA, 374 nt
Filed under: uncultured organism
Description: bacterial SSU rRNA
Rfam family: Bacterial small subunit ribosomal RNA
Source: RNAcentral